UCACUUCUGGAUGGACCUGCGGUGCAUUAGCUUGUUGGUGGGGUAACGGCCUACCAAGGCGAUGAUGCAUAGCUGAGUUGAGAGACUGAUCGGCCACAAUGGGACUGAGACACGGCCCAUACUCCUACGGGAGGCAGCAGUAGGGAAUCUUCCACAAUGGGCGCAAGCCUGAUGGAGCAACACCGCGUGAGUGAAGAAGGGUUUCGGCUCGUAAAGCUCUGUUGUUAAAGAAGAACACGUAUGAGAGUAACUGUUCAUACGUUGACGGUAUUUAACCAGAAAGUCACGGCUAACUACGUGCCAGCAGCCGCGGUAAUACGUAGGUGGCAAGCGUUAUCCGGAUUUAUUGGGCGUAAAGAGAGUGCAGGCGGUUUUCUAAGUCUGAUGUGAAAGCCUUCGGCUUAACCGGAGAAGUGCAUCGGAAACUGGAUAACUUGAGUGCAGAAGAGGGUAGUGGAACUCCAUGUGUAGCGGUGGAAUGCGUAGAUAU
This 490-nucleotide ribosomal RNA is filed under the name uncultured bacterium. RNAcentral describes it as "bacterial SSU rRNA". It matches the Rfam family "Bacterial small subunit ribosomal RNA", at positions 215 to 697 of the family's 1533-position model. The record is from RNAcentral.